CCUACGGGAGGCAGCAGUGGGGAAUAUUGCACAAUGGGGGAAACCCUGAUGCAGCGACGCCGCGUGAGUGAAGAAGUAAUUCGUUACGUAAAGCUCUAUCAGCAGGGAAGAAACACUGACCUUACGGUCAGCAGACGGUACCUGAGUAAGAAGCCCCGGCUAACUACGUGCCAGCAGCCGCGGUAAUACGUAGGGGGCAAGCGUUAUCCGGAUUUACUGGGGGUAAAGAGUUGCGUAGGUGGCAUAAUAAGUAGCUAGGGAAAUCUGGUGGCUCAACCAUUCAGACUAUUAGCUAAACUGUUAAGCUCGAGACCGUUAGGGGUAACUGGAAUUUCUAGUGUAGGAGUGAAAUCCGUAGAUAUUAGAAGGAACACCAAUAGCGUAGGCAGGUUACUGGGACGGUUCUGACACUAAGGCACGAAAGCGUAGGGAGCAAACGGGAUUAGAUACCCGUGUAGUC
Molecule: ribosomal RNA, 460 nt
Filed under: uncultured bacterium
Lineage: Bacteria
Description: partial 16S ribosomal RNA
Rfam family: Bacterial small subunit ribosomal RNA
Source: RNAcentral